GCGACCGUCUUCAAACGGAUAGGAUACCGGCCUCCGAAGCCGGCAAUACAGGUUCGAUUCCUGUCGGUCGCACCA
Molecule: transfer RNA, 75 nt
Filed under: Burkholderiales bacterium
Lineage: Bacteria; Pseudomonadati; Pseudomonadota; Betaproteobacteria; Burkholderiales
Description: tRNA-Arg
Rfam family: tRNA
About the family: Transfer RNA (tRNA) molecules are approximately 80 nucleotides in length. Their secondary structure includes four short double-helical elements and three loops (D, anti-codon, and T loops).
Source: RNAcentral